Molecule: ribosomal RNA, 478 nt
Filed under: uncultured Desulfobulbus sp.
Lineage: Bacteria; Pseudomonadati; Thermodesulfobacteriota; Desulfobulbia; Desulfobulbales; Desulfobulbaceae
Description: bacterial SSU rRNA
Rfam family: Bacterial small subunit ribosomal RNA
Source: RNAcentral
UUGACGGGGGCCCGCACAAGCGGUGGAGUAUGUGGUUUAAUUCGAUGCAACGCGAAGAACCUUACCUGGUCUUGACAUCCCGGAGACCCUUAGGAAACUAGGGGGUGCUUCCAUCUGGAAGAAUCUGGAGACAGGUGCUGCAUGGCUGUCGUCAGCUCGUGUCGUGAGAUGUUGGGUUAAGUCCCGCAACGAGCGCAACCCUUGCCUUUAGUUGCCAGCAGUUCGGCUGGGCACUCUAAAGGGACUGCCGGUGUUAAACCGGAGGAAGGUGGGGAUGACGUCAAGUCCUCGUGGCCUUUAUGACCAGGGCUACACACGUACUACAAUGGCCGAUACAAAGGGCAGCGACACUGCGAGGUGAAGCCAAUCCCGUAAAAUCGGUCUCAGUCCGGAUUGGAGUCUGCAACUCGACUCCAUGAAGUUGGAAUCGCUAGUAAUCGUGGAUCAGCAUGCCACGGUGAAUACGUUCCCGGGCCUU